UUGUAGUCAACAUCAUGAGGGAAUCUCUCUUAGAGGGAACACUGUCCCUCACCUGUAUGUACAUGGGGCUAGUGAAACUGAUGUGAGAUGUACACAAGAAAUCUGCCCUCUUGUGUCAUUUCCCUCAAUUCAUAUAUUGCUGAAGUGAGAUGAGAUGCAGGCAAGGGAACUGGUACCCCUUUUCAUCACACACAGAACUGGGCUUCAGAACACACAGGUUUGUGAUGCUAAAGUCAAAGUCAGAAGUGGUACCACAAUAAUUUGGGGGGGAGGCGAGCAAAAUAUAUACAAGUAUGCAGCAUAACAAAAAUAUGUAAACUGAUCCCCCCCAUGGAUAACCUUGGUGUGUGUGUGUGGGGGGGGUGUCUCUGAAUAUUUUAAUCUUAAUAAUCCGAGCAUAUUAUUCCUAUCUGUGCUGAUCUUUGAUUUUGAUAAACUGAAUUGAAUAUUAUUCCUAUCAGUUGUUUAUUAAAACAUCGUUUCAGUUAUUUAAUUUUAUUUAAUUUAUUUAAUUUCAUUUAUUUAAUAUUUAAUUGCUCGCCUCUGUGUGUGCUUCAGCUUGCUUGCAACAGUACAGCAACAGUAUAAGAUAAUAGGUAAUUUCAUCAUAUACAUAAUUUUUAUGGUCAUAACGUUCUUAUCCAAUGAGAAAAGGUAAUCAGGUAUAGUUAACUCCCACAUUCCAGUGUCAAGGCAAGGCUUAAAAUCUUCUUAGGUAAAAAGAGCCUUCAUCUACCCUAAUUAUUCCUACUUUUUAGCUUUGAAAGUAGGGCAUUCGUAGGCCAAAGUCAAAAGUCUUUUUAAACUUACUUUCCAGUAGGCAUUAUGAGAUCACCCAGCUCUGUGUGUGUGUGUGUGUGUGUGCGUGUGUGUGUCCCCACUUUGCAAUGCCUGGACAAAUAUGCACCAAACUGGGUACAGUUGUAGGGACAUAUCUAUGGCAUAGUUUGUAAUGUCGUAAUCCACCCCAAUUCAAGAAGGUGGAAAAGUAAACGUUUGAGGCAAACUUUAGCAAUUGGGCUAACUUGUGAACUGUCCAACUUAUUUGAACCAAGUUUGCUACAGCUGUAUGGACAUAUAGGGACACCUCAAUGGCGUAGUUUCUAAUGAUGUCAUCCACCCCAAUUUAAGAUGGCAGACACAUGAAUGUUUGAGGCACAAGUGGGCUAACCUGUGAACUGCCUAACUGAUUUAGACCAAAUUUAGUCCAGUUGUAGGGAUAGUGAAAGGAAAGUAGGCAAAUUAAUUCACAAUAGAACAACUUGUUCUUUUUUUUUUUUACCAGAGACACUCCUAAGGAUUCUGACCCUCACAAUUAAUGGAAGAGGGGUCCUUCAAGCCCUCCCCCCUUAUGAACAUAUGAAGCUGCCAUAAUACUAAGUCACCGAAGGCUGCCUUUCACUUAACUGCCUCAAGAUUUAGCUCUAGGCUGAACUAGUAGAUAUACAUCAUCCACUUAUUUCUCUAGCGCAUGCACAAGAAUCUGUGACGAGCUGAGAAGAGGGUGCCAUGGGAGGAUUUCUGCACUUUCUGAAGAAGAGAGUCCUGCAUGUGAACAGCUCAGCAGAACAACAGAGCCUUGCUCUGAGCAUCUACCACUAGCCUGCAUCAUUUCCAAGCCUCGUGCCCUACCGGUGAACAAAUCCUUUGAAGCCUUCUUUGUGAAACUGGCGAGAAGCCUAUUCAACGAACAGCUCAGCCUGCUCCCCCUUCCCUCCUCCCUCCUAAUCACUGCCACCCCAUUCCUAAGCCCUCCCUUCUUUCUUCUCUCUCUGUUUCUCUCUAAAUGUUUUAUUAGGAUUUGUUAGACAGCUGUAAUUACUGAUUGCAAACACAUUUGAUAACUAGGCACACUGCACUACACUUUGAAUCGGAAACAUGUUUAAUUUGGAUGACCUGUUUGAAUUUUAUCCUGAUGAACAACUUUCUAUAAUAAAGCCCAUUGAACUUUC
Hemicordylus capensis (graceful crag lizard) is the source of this 1952-nucleotide long non-coding RNA. RefSeq lists it as uncharacterized. The transcript has 3 exons. NCBI's taxonomy places the organism in Eukaryota, Metazoa, Chordata, Lepidosauria, Squamata, Cordylidae. The record is from RefSeq and is a predicted model, not a curated record.